UUUGUCUUUGUACGCAGAGAUUAUUUCAAUGAGGAACCUUUUCUGAGAAAUAUGCUUGAGGUUCAGCUAAAUCCUCUUUUUAUAUUGUUUUUCUUGUCCUUUAUUACCUGUUUUUUCAAUCCAAAAAUGUGGAUCGUAUGUUAAGAUUUUCUGGUCAAAUUUCCUUGGCAGUUUUAUCAAUGUGGUGUUGAGAUGAUCAGGAGAGACC
Molecule: small RNA, 208 nt
Filed under: Arabidopsis thaliana (thale cress)
Lineage: Eukaryota; Viridiplantae; Streptophyta; Magnoliopsida; Brassicales; Brassicaceae
Description: ATSL220610
Source: RNAcentral